CCUACGGGUGGCAGCAGUGGGGGAUCUUGGACAAUGGGCGGAACUCUGAUCCAGCGACGCCGCGUGGGUGAAGAAGGUCCUCGGCGCGUAAAGCUCUGUUUGUAGGGAAGAAAAGGACGGUACGUGACUACGCCUCCCCUGCCAUUUUCGGGCCAGCAACCGCGGUAACACGAAGGGGGCCAGCGUUGUCCGGAUUUAUUGGGGGUAACGGGUGCGUAGGUGGUUUGAUAAGUUAGAGGUGAAAUGUCCGGGCUCAACCCGGGAGUUGCGUCUAAUACUGGUGGACUUGAGAGUAGAUGAGGUAGGCGGAAUGUAUGGUGUAGCGGUGAAAUGCUUAGAGAUCAGACAGAACACCGAUUGCGAAGGCAGCUUACCAAGCUGUAUCUGACGUUGAGGCACGAAAGCGUGGGUAGCAAACAGGAUUAGAUACCCCUGUAGUC
RNAcentral lists this ribosomal RNA (440 nucleotides) under uncultured bacterium. RNAcentral describes it as "partial 16S ribosomal RNA". It matches the Rfam family "Bacterial small subunit ribosomal RNA", at positions 338 to 795 of the family's 1533-position model. The record is from RNAcentral.